GGCCUAACACAUGCAAGUCGAGCGGUAACAGAAAGUAGCUUGCUACUUUUGCUGACGAGCGGCGGACGGGUGAGUAAUGCUUGGGAAUAUGCCUUUUGGUGGGGGACAACAGUUGGAAACGACUGCUAAUACCGCAUAAUGUCUACGGACCAAAGUGGGGGACCUUCGGGCCUCACGCCAAAAGAUUAGCCCAAGUGGGAUUAGCUAGUUGGUAAGGUAAUGGCUUACCAAGGCAACGAUCCCUAGCUGGUUUGAGAGGAUGAUCAGCCACACUGGGACUGAGACACGGCCCAGACUCCUACGGGAGGCAGCAGUGGGGAAUAUUGCACAAUGGGCGCAAGCCUGAUGCAGCCAUGCCGCGUGUGUGAAGAAGGCCUUCGGGUUGUAAAGCACUUUCAGUAAGGAGGAAAGGGUAGUCUUUAAUAGAGGCUAUCUGUGACGUUACUUACAGAAGAAGCACCGGCUAACUCCGUGCCAGCAGCCGCGGUAAUACGGAGGGUGCGAGCGUUAAUCGGAAUUACUGGGCGUAAAGCGUACGCAGGCGGUUUGUUAAGCGAGAUGUGAAAGCCCC
This 571-nucleotide ribosomal RNA is filed under the name Pseudoalteromonas sp. TG15-07. RNAcentral describes it as "bacterial SSU rRNA". It matches the Rfam family "Bacterial small subunit ribosomal RNA", at positions 45 to 604 of the family's 1533-position model. The record is from RNAcentral. Lineage: Bacteria; Pseudomonadati; Pseudomonadota; Gammaproteobacteria; Alteromonadales; Pseudoalteromonadaceae.